Molecule: ribosomal RNA, 614 nt
Filed under: Papiliotrema laurentii
Lineage: Eukaryota; Fungi; Basidiomycota; Tremellomycetes; Tremellales; Rhynchogastremaceae
Description: eukaryotic LSU rRNA
Rfam family: Eukaryotic large subunit ribosomal RNA
Source: RNAcentral
GGAGGAAAAGAAACUAACAAGGAUUCCCCUAGUAACGGCGAGUGAACCGGGAAGAGCUCAAAUUUGAAAUCUGGCGUCCUCAGGGCGUCCGAGUUGUAAUCUAUAGAGGCGUUUUCCGUGCCGGACCGUGUCCAAGUUCCUUGGAACAGGAUAUCAAAGAGGGUGACAAUCCCGUACUUGACACGACGACCGGUGCUCUGUGAUACGUCUUCUACGAGUCGAGUUGUUUGGGAAUGCAGCUCAAAAUGGGUGGUGAGUUCCAUCUAAAGCUAAAUAUUGGCGAGAGACCGAUAGCGAACAAGUACCGUGAGGGAAAGAUGAAAAGCACUUUGGAAAGAGAGUUAAACAGUACGUGAAAUUGUUGAAAGGGAAACGAUUGAAGUCAGUCGUGACCGAGAGGCUCAGCCGGUUCUGCCGGUGUAUUCCCCUCGGUCGGGUCAACAUCAGUUUUGUCCGGUGGAUAAGGGCGGUAGGAAGGUGGCACCCUCGGGUGUGUUAUAGCCUGCCGUCGCAUACAUCGGGUGAGACUGAGGAACGCAGCUCGCCUUUAUGGCCGGGGUUCGCCCACGUCCGAGCUUAGGAUGUUGACAUAAUGGCUUUAAACGACCCGUCUU